This 174-nucleotide ribosomal RNA is filed under the name Triticum aestivum (bread wheat). RNAcentral's name for it is "partial small subunit ribosomal RNA". The record is from RNAcentral. Lineage: Eukaryota; Viridiplantae; Streptophyta; Magnoliopsida; Poales; Poaceae.
AUGACAUCCCUUACUAUGCUUGUGUCUUGGGCAGUUUGGAAUGAGAUAAAUGCACAGGUUUUUCGACACAAGUCUGCUCCUCCGACCGUCCUUCUCGCGGCCAUAAAGAAAGAGUCUAAGCUUUGGUGCAUUGCGGACGCUAAACGUCUUGGCCAAAUCAUACCGGAAGAGUAA